This is a long non-coding RNA of Saccostrea cuccullata (small rock oyster), 1321 nucleotides long. RefSeq lists it as uncharacterized. NCBI's taxonomy places the organism in Eukaryota, Metazoa, Mollusca, Bivalvia, Ostreida, Ostreidae. The record is from RefSeq and is a predicted model, not a curated record. The transcript is spliced from 4 exons.
AGAGCAGCAGGAUAUAUAGCCACUCAGCAGCCAGGAUCGACCGAGGGAGAGGUUUGGUUUUUGCAUUAAAAUCCAGAUAUAAGGUGAGCUGACCUGUUUCUUUAGCUUGUAUUUCUAUGCAAAAUACCCUCCAUUCCCCUUUCAUGUUACUAACAUUUGCACUUUCCCUUUGUAAUUGUCUCUCUUUCUAACUAUUUUUUUUGUAAUGUCCUUUUUUCAUAUGUGUUUUUUUUUCGUUUCUUGUGUUUGAUUCUUUUUGACUUCACUAAUCUUGUAUCAGUUUCUCUCUUUGACAAGGGCAGAGAGGAGUACAGGACAGACAGACAGACAGACAGUGGCCGGCCACACAACAAAGAGAAGAACAUAGCAAGGAUCUGAACACAUUAUUACUUCAGGCAAACGAAAGUCAAAUAUGGCUGUAUAGCACCAGGUCCCACCGGAAGCAUCAAGACAUGUAGCCUAUUAGCAACCAAGGACCACAGAAAAGGUUUGGUUUUCAUAAUAAAAACCAGAAAUGAGGUGAGCUGAAUUGUUUCUUUAGCUUUUAUGUCUAUGCAGAAUACCCCCUUUCCCCUUUUCUUAUAACUAAGAUUUGCACAUUCCCUUUGUAAUUGUCUCUCUUUCUAACAAAUUAUUUUUUAAUGCAUUUUUCAUACGUGUUUUUUUCUUGUAUGUAAUUCUUUUUGACUUUACUAAUCUUUUAUCAGUUUUUCUCUUUGACAAGGACAGAAAGGAGUAUUUUACAGACAGACAAACAAUGGCCGGCUGCACAACAAAGAGGAGGACAUAAGAAGGAUCUGAACACAUAUUUCAGGCAAACAAAAGUCAAAUGUGGGAUAGAUAAGCAAGAAUCAGUCCCUCUGUGUAGAUCGACUCAAUGACCUUUCAACCAAAGCACCAAAAGUAAGCACCAUUUAUUAGGAAUUUAUCCGAUUAACUAAGUACUGCCAACUGUGGAGAAUUCAGCCGGAGGCAGCAAGAAGCCAACCAAGGACCACAGAAAGGUUUGGUUUUUGUAUUGAAAACCAGAUAUGAGGUGAGUUGAAUUGAAUUGUGUAUUUAGCUUUUACUUCCAAGCCUUACCUCUUUCUAACAUAACUAACACAUGCACAUUCCCUUUCAUAUGGUUGUUUUGAUUAGUAUGUACAUGUAUCUUACAUAUUCUGUUUUGUUUUUAAAAUUAUUUUUGGACUUGAAUAAUCUUGCAUUAGUUUCUAUCUUUGAGAAGGGCAUAGAGGAGUAUAAGACAGACAGACAGUAGCCACCAGCACAUCAAGUAGGAGAGCAUUGCAAGAAUCUAGAUACAGAGUAUCUUCUAAGA